AGAGAAUAAAAGCAGGCUGCCCGAGCCAGCAGUGGCAACCUGAUGGGGUCCCUUUUCAAGCUGUGGAACCUUUGUUCUUUCUCUGUUUGCAAUAAAUCUUGCCACUGCUCACUCUUUGGGUCCACACUGCUUUUAUGAGCUGUAACACUCACCGCGAAGGUCCGCAGCUUCACUCCUGAAGCCAGCGAGACCACGAGCCUACUGGGAGGAACGAACAACUCCCGACGCGCCGCCUUAAGAGCUGUAACACUCACCGCGAAGGUCUGCAGCUUCACUCCUGAGCCAGCGAGACCACGAACCCACCAGAAGGAAAAAACUCCGAACACAUCUGAACAUCAGAAGCAACAAACUCCGGACACGCCGCCUUUAAGAACUGUAACACUCACUGCGAGGGUCCGCGGCUUCAUUCUUGAAGUGAGUGAGACCAAGAACCCACCAGUUCUGGACACAAUUUCAAGUCCUCAGGUGCCAUCAAUAUUCUGAAAAUGGCAGUGAUUUUUAUUCAACCUGUAUAAGGCACUUUCACCAUGUACCUGGAAGCAACAUCUACAUCUUUUUCAGCAAUCUAGAUGCUGGGGACACAAGGUCCACCUUCCAGGAAUAUGGCCAUGACACCAGAAAUCACAAACAUGAUGAGAAUGGAAUGACUGGGGAAGAAGUGCCAGAUGCUUCACUUGUAAAUGAAGACCCAGCCUCUGGGGAUGCAGAUACCACCUCCCUGAAGAAGCUGAAUAUCUGCAGAUAAGUGGAGUUCACCAAUGAUGAGGAGCGGGAUGGAGAAAGGAGGUAGGGAGAGUCAUCCAAGGAACAUGAGCAACAUGUUAAAAGAAUUGAACCAGAGUCCGGUGAAUAUCAGCACUGGGACCAGUUAGCAGAGGAAAAGGAAAGAAUAAAAGCGAAAAGAAUGAAGAGUCAUAUGAUUACCAACUUUUCCUUUUUCAUAUAAAUUGAGUGUAUAUGGGUCUGGAACAACCUGAAUUUCCAUCAAGUCCUGGCUAACCUCAUUAUGUCCUAUGAAUAUUUUUGACUAAUCCCACUUUACAUUAAUCUGUAUUGUGAAUGUGGAUAUUGAAUUAUAUUUCUUUGUAAUCCCAUUAUCCAAAAUCCAGUUCAGAGACUAUUAGUUACCAAUGUUCACUGUGAAGGAAAAAAAAAAAAAAAAAGCUCAGAGGAUAAACAUGUGAUAUGGUUUGGCUGUGUCCCCACCCAAAUAUCAUCUUGAAUUGUAGCUCCCAUAAUUCCCACGUGUUGUGGGAGGGACCCGGUGGGAGAUAAUUGUAUCAUGGGGGUGGUUCCCCCAUACUAUUCUCAUAGUAGUGAAUAAGUCUCACAAAAUCUGAUGGUUUUAUGAGGGAAAACCCCUUUCACCUGGUUCUCAUUCUCUUCUCUGGUCUGUCGUCAUGUAAGACAUGCCUUUCACCUUCUCCACCAUGACUGUGAGGCCUCCCCAGCCACGUGGAACUGUGAGCCCAUUAAACCUCUUUCACUUAUAAAUUACCCAGUCUCUGGUAUAUCUUUAUCAGCAGCAUGAAAACAGACUAGUACAACAUGUUUGGAAAUGAUGUUCAGAAUUAAAUUUUCUUCUUGAAGAAUAAUAAUGUACAGGAGUGUGUUGAAGAUUUUGAGAAUUCUCACAGCAAAGGAACUUGUUAAUUUUUUUAAUCCACCUACCUAAUAGAAUUAAUAUUUUAAGAGAAACAGCUUGUGAAACAAUUAUAUAUAUGGUCCCAUAAAAACUUUUAGAAAACAAUUAUUAUACACACAUAUAAACACAUAUUACUUACUAGUAAAGAUGUACCUAUCUUCCUAGGAAGCUCUUUCAUGGUAUUUCAUUAGUAUCCCUUCCAGCACCUACCAUCCAUCCAGGCAAAUUUUAGAUGUUUUACAAAGGUUUAUGAAAUUGCAUUAAACACCUGUUAAAAAUCACUUUGUUCAUUGCAAGACAUUUAUAUACUGUAGUUUUAAAGAAAGAUAACAGCUGAGGGGAGCUACAGGAAAAAGAAAAGCAUAGAACUUAUGUUGAAUUAUUUUUCUUGUGCAUAUGAAGUUGCUCUGUGAGAACAAGAGCACUCAGCAGACGUAUAGAUCCACUAUCUUUUCACAUGGCAAUAUGUUCAUCCUUUCAGACAAUUUGAGCAAGUUUGGAACAUAAAAUAAUACAAAGAGGCUAAAAUGCAAAGCAAAAAAAAAAAAAUGAAAAUGAUUGGCACAAAAUAAUGGAGCAAUUGUAAGAGAUGUUACAUGUGUAAACUUAAACCAGGACAUAAACCGUUGAAGUUCACCGUUUAAGGAAGCAUCCAAAUAUAUAAUAGUCCUGCUAAAUGCUUGGAGUAGCAAAUUUCUAUCACAUGCAUCCACAUGCACAUCUUACAUUAAAAUCCCGUGACAAUAGUGUUAACAUCUUGUCAUUUUAGCCUUGAAUGUCAAAGGCUCAUGGGAUCUACUCCAUGACUCACAUAACCUGUAUAUCUAGAAACAGGUGUUUUAAACUCUACAUCUGGUGAUAAAUAUUAAAGAUAGAAGAUGAGAGUUCUAAAACAGUCUACUUAUUUCAUUUCCACUUGGCUUUGCCACCAUUACCUAAACUAUUACAGAUUGAGCUCCACAGACUACUCAGAAUUCUCCUCCUGUCUUGAAAUUCCAAAUGCAAUUUUCCCAGGAUUUUUAGAAAUUUAUGAAAUUAUUAGCCAAAAAUAUUAUAUUUCAAGAUUAAGCCCUCAUCCUACAGUUUAGAAAACCAAGAGCCAGCUGAAAAUACUUGCUCAAAUUCAGAGAAUGAAUGUUGUCUAAAUUAGUUCAAAAACAAGUGACUCAUUGAAGAUAAAGUAGUGUGGUGAUUAAAAGCAUGUACUUUGAAAAAAAAAAAAGUGACUCUUGGCUUGUAAUACAAUUUUUUCACUGCAUUAUUCUAAGGAAAUUUGUUAGUAGAGCUGAAAUAAUACAGCAUUAGGGUUAAAAAGUACAAGUUUCAAAGUUACAAAGACCAAGGUAGCGAAAGGCAAAUUACUCAACCUCUCUAAACAUGGUUUAUUCAUUAGUAAAAGAAGAACAAGAAUAUUAUUUAUGACAUAGUAUUAAGAGUUUUAAACAAUGUAGAAUACUGAAAGUGCCAAAAAACUAUUGUCAUUAUUACAUAUGUAAGUAAAAUUUAUUUUCUGCAUAUCAUUGUAUUAGUCUGUUUUCAUACUGCUACAAGGAACUACCCAAGCAGGUAAUUUGUAAAGAAAAGAGGUUUAAUUGACACACAGUUCAGCAUGGCUCGGGGGGCGGGGGGGCCCUCAGGAAACUUACAAUCAUGAUGGAAGGCAAAGGGGGAGCAAGGCACCUUCUUCACGAGGCGGCAGGAAGGAGAAAUGCUGAGUGAAAGGGGAAGAGCCCCUUAUAAAACCAUCAGAUCUAGUGAGAACUCACUAUCAUGAGAACCGCAUGGAAGAAACUGCUUCUGUGAUUCAGUUAUCUCCACUUGGUCUCUCCCUUGACACACGACGAAUUACAAUUCAAGAUGACUUUUGGGUGGAGACACAAAGCCUAACCAUAUCAAUCACCAUACCUUUCAAAAACUACAAAUAGUUUUCAUUACAUUUGGAGGUCAGUCUCAUGUAAAUUAUAAUGAGGUAUCAUAUUCAAAAUCCACUUUGAUCUCUGCUUCUAAGAGGACGGAGUGGACAUAAUUUCCGUAUUCCUCCCAAUGGGCACAACUAAAAACUCUGGAAAUGAUAUAUAAAACAAAUGUAAGAAGACUCUAAAGCAUGGAAAGAAAAAGGCAGGCGAGCUUGGGAAAUUGGAAUUCAAUGAACUACACAGUGCUGAGUUCCCUGAGUUUUCAUCUUGCCUCACAUAUCAUCUCAGACUGGGCACUAAAGACAUCAACAACCCGAAAAUACUAAAACGCUAAUGGACACAAACACCAAAACACACACAUACACACACAAAUAAAAACCCAAGAGAAGCCUGCUUUCUCUUGCCAAUGGACCAGAAAAGAAGCAGCAUAGGAAGACAGAAAACAUUUAGACAAUAACCACUUUACUCUAGCCAAACACUAUGUAAAAUACUGCAUGCCUACCCCUAGAAGCAAAGGCAGAGGGGAGAGUCCAGUCUUUGGACUCUUGCCAGGCUGCCAGGAGGUGCUGCAAGCCCUACCUACCUCCAGAGUGGUGUCAGAGAAGGCAGAGUGGAAAGCUGAGACCAUCAUCCCUAUCAGGUGGUAAAGAGGAUCCCCUUCAGGGUGUCAGGGGAGUCCAUGGGAAGAGGGAUAGGGACUUGGAUUUCCACCCUACCCAGAGGCACCAAGGCACCCACACUCCUCUCACUGAGGUGCUGUCAGAGGAGGUCUAAUGGAGAGUCGGUACUUUAAUGUGGCUCAGUGGUAACAAGCUCGACCCCAAAAGUGCUAGUAGAGGCCAUGUGGGAAGCUGUAAGAAGACAUCCCUCCCCUCCCAGCCAGGGUGGUAUCAACAGAUACCUAAUGGGGAACUGAGUUUUGACCAAAGUGCAAAAGCAAUUCAAUGGAGGAACAAACUUUUCAAUAAAUGGUGCUGAAGCAAUUGGAUACCUAUAGGCAAAAAAAUAAAAAUAAAAAAAAAUUAGACCUCAAACGUUUAACAAAAAUUAACUCAAAAUAAAUAGUAUAUUUAAUAUAAAAUGUAAACUACAAAACUUACAAAAUAACAUUGGAGAAAAUUUUCAGGACCUAGGACUUGGUGAAGAAAAUGUAGAUGUGACACCAAAAGCACAAUCCAUACGAGUAAAAAAUCAAUAAAUUGGAUCUACUUUUGCUCUGUGAAAGAUCCUGUUUAAGAGAAUGAAAAGACAAGCUAUAGAGUGGGAGAAAAUAUUUGCAAAUAUCAGUGAGAUUUCUUAAAAUUGAACAGUUAAAAACAAAUAACCCAAUUAGAAAAUGGGCCUUCCCCACCCCCAAAAAACCCAUGAAGAGACAUUUCAGACAUGUAAGCAAAUGAAAAAAUGUUCAAAGUCACUAGCUAUUAGGGAAAUGCAAAUAAAGACCAUGAGGAGACAUCACUACAUACCUUUCAACAUGCUGACAUAAAAAAAACGGUGACAACACCAGAUGCUAGCAAGGAUACAGAGAAACUUGAUGUCUCAUACAUUGCCAGUGGGAAUACAAAAUGGUUAAGCCACUGUGGAAAACAGUUUGGCUGUUUCUUAAAGUAAUUAAACAUAUGCUUACCAUACAACCCAGAAAUUGUACUCCAGGGCAUUUAUCCCAGAGAAAUGAAACAUUAUUGUAGCAGUUUUUUGUUGUUGUUGUUAUAGCCAAAACCUGGAAUACAGCAAUAAAAAGGAAUAAACUAUUAAUACACACCAUGAUUUGGAUGGAUUUCAAAGUCAUUACAAUAAGUGAAAAAAAAUCUCAGAGGACACAUUUAUAUGUGAGCUCAUUUAUACAACAUUCUUGAAAUGAUAAAAUUACAGAGACAGGAAAAAAAAAUUAUGUUUCCCAUGAGUUAGGGAUGGUAUAGGCGAGGAAAUUGAGUGCAGCUAUAAAGGGGUAAUUUGAGGGAGAUCUUUGUGGUAAAGGAAUAGUUCUGUAUCUUGAUUGUACUGAUGAUAUAGACUGAUGAAUCUACACAUAUGAUAAAAUGACAUGGAAUCAUAUAUACUCAUUGUCUAAUUUCUGUCUUUGAUGCUGUAUUAUAGUUAUAUAAGAUGUAUCCAUUGAUGGAAACUGAGAGAAGAGUACGUGGGUUGUCUCUGUGCUACUUUUGCAACUUCCUGUGAAUCUACAAUUAUUUUAAAAUAAAAUUUUUCUUUUUUUAUUAUACUUUAAGUUCUAGGGUACAUGUGCACAAUGUGCAGGUUUGUUACAUAUGUAUACAUGUGCCAUGUUGCUGUGCUGCACCCAUUAAGUCGUCAUUUACAUUAAGUAUAUCUCCUAAUGCUAUCCCUCUCCCCUCCCCCC
RNAcentral lists this long non-coding RNA (5920 nucleotides) under Homo sapiens (human). Its description in RNAcentral is "HSALNT0044190". Lineage: Eukaryota; Metazoa; Chordata; Mammalia; Primates; Hominidae. The record is from RNAcentral.